UUAAGUUCAGCGGGUGGUCCUACCUGAUUUGAGGUCAAGAACAAAAGGGGCCACACGAUGGCAGCACGACUCGCUUGGAUGCAGAUAGAUUAUCACACCCAGAGCAGAGGUCAUAAAAAAACCGCCAAUGCAUUUCAGGGGAGCAGACCACAGAGCUGGAGCCUGCACCAUCCCCCCAAGUCCGAGCCACACACGCAGGU
This 200-nucleotide unclassified non-coding RNA is filed under the name Inocybe sp. RNAcentral describes it as "partial internal transcribed spacer 2". Lineage: Eukaryota; Fungi; Basidiomycota; Agaricomycetes; Agaricales; Inocybaceae. The record is from RNAcentral.